RNAcentral lists this ribosomal RNA (428 nucleotides) under uncultured bacterium. RNAcentral describes it as "partial 16S ribosomal RNA". It matches the Rfam family "Bacterial small subunit ribosomal RNA", at positions 354 to 796 of the family's 1533-position model. The record is from RNAcentral.
ACUAGGAAUUUUGCGCAAUGGGGGCAACCCUGACGCAGCGACACAGCGUGGAGGAGGAAGGUCUUCGGAUUGUAAACUCCUUUUAUAUGGGAAGAAUAGAUGACUGUACCAUAUGAAUAAGCACCUGCUAACUACGUGCCAGAAGCAUCGGUGAUGCGUAGGGUGCGAACGUUAUCCGGAUUUAUUGGGCGUAAAGAGAUGCGUAGGCGUUUCAGUUAGUCUUUCGUUAAAAGUCACGGCUUAACCGUGAAGAUGCGUUGGAUACUGCUGAAAUUGAGACAUGAAGGGGUGAACGGAACUCCAAGUGGAGCGGUGAAAUGCGUUGAUAUUUGGAAGAACAUCAGAGGCGAAGGCGGUUCACUGGUCAUUGUCUGACGCUAAGGCUCGAAAGCGUGGGUAGCAAAACGGAUUAGAUACCCCUGUAGUCC